RNAcentral lists this long non-coding RNA (206 nucleotides) under Sus scrofa (pig). RNAcentral describes it as "lncRNA (ENSSSCG00030070563.1)". Lineage: Eukaryota; Metazoa; Chordata; Mammalia; Artiodactyla; Suidae. The record is from RNAcentral.
GCAGUGCCUGAAGCUGUAGCGUGUGCCGCGCUCAGGUGCUCAGGUCCCUUAUGGUGCCUACAUACGUUGACACUGACCAGAGUGAGAAAAUACACUGACGUGUCAACUGGUGAUGUGCAAUUGACCUUGGGAUGCAUAACUUCGUUGGGGGAAUCACUGACAUAUAAUAACUCCACAGCAUGUGGCCCCAAGAACUGCCCUGAAAG